This 5984-nucleotide long non-coding RNA is filed under the name Sus scrofa (pig). Its description in RNAcentral is "lncRNA (ENSSSCG00050001370.1)". The record is from RNAcentral. Lineage: Eukaryota; Metazoa; Chordata; Mammalia; Artiodactyla; Suidae.
UGAGGUCUAGGCGUCCCUGACCCCCGCUUCAGGAUCAAAGAGCAGCGGCAUCGGAAUCACACCGCCGAGUAUGACUCUGGCUGGACUGCUAACAAACCUUUCUCUUUGUGAGCCUUGGUUUAUGUUUUUUUCUUUUUCAAGCCGUACCUGCCGCCUACGGAAGUUCCCAGGUUAGGUGUUGAAUCGGAGCUGCACCUGCUGUCCUGUGCCACAGCCAGGGCAAUGCCGAAUCUGAGCCACAUCUGCAACCUACGCAUCAGCUCGUGGCAAUGAUGGAUCCUUAAUCCACUGAAUGAGGCUGGGAUUAAACCCACUCCAUCAAGGACACUCUGUCGGGUUCUUAACCCAUUGAGGCAUAAUGGGGACUCCUUGAGCCUUCAUUUUACCACCUCUGGGAUGGAAUGUAUUGUUAGCUAUUGUUACCUGAUGGAGUUAGAUACUGUGUAGGUAGAAUGACUGGCAGAGCGCCGGGCACAGAGACGGACGCUGUUAUCAGUUGCUGUCUUGUAGUGAUGGUUUUCUGCCAUGAUCAGCUCUGAGAUGAAAGUGAUGGGCGUUGCCAGGACUGUUUUAAAGGCAGGAACUAUAAACCUGCACAGUAAGCCAGGUGUCCUGAAGACAGCUUGAGAGCAGAACUCCGAGUUCUUUCUAACAUGUUUGGAAGCCGUGUCCUGUGAAUGCCGCCUGCAGUCGUGGGUCCACAGGGCUGCAGAGAAAGCCCUGAUAAAUCGCACAACCCCUCAGCGGCCCACUCCCUUUGCUGGCACUCCAGGCACUGCCGUUUCUCACCCUGUUAGGGGUUUCCCUGUGUGUCCCCUAGACAGCUGCUCCUGUCCCCCACUCCCAGCCGAGAUGCUCCCACCGUCCAGAAUUCAAGAUUUGUCACGCCUGAGAAUUGGGUGCUGGGGCAAAGAUGCUAGAUUUCUUUUCUUGGUAGAUUCUGAGCUCUCUGUGAUCAAACACAGUUGGUAGAUCAGCAGACAUUUCUUUUUUACAUGUACGUUUUAUUAGACUGUGAAUUUCUUGACCUUUCUUACCUGGCAAUUUAAGCAAAUUUUGGGACCAGACCCAGUCAUGGAACCCGAUUUGAUUUUCUUUUUCCCCAUCCAGAGUCACUUGUUGCUUUGAAAAGCCAACUUUUGUUUUUCAGCUUUGUAGUGUAUCUUAUGCAUGAUAGGAGAAGAAGGAGAAGGAAACAAUUUAGGAGUUGAUGCGGAAUUAAAAUGUUCCAUUAGUUCCCCUGCCUGAGGUGAUUACUCUUAAUAAUGUGGUCUUCGUUCUUUUUUCUUUCUUCUGAGUAAUGACGUUUUAAAAAGUUGGGCUCAUGAUCUAUGUGAAUAUGUGUGUACGUACAUGUAUGUAUGUAAGAGUUUCCUAAGUAAGAAUUUCUUUAUCUUAAAUAAGAAUUUCUCAUGUCACUAAACAUUGCAUAGAAAAAUGCCUCAGUGUUGUCGUAAGAGUGUAUCAUAUGAAUGAAUUCUAUUUUGUUUAACUCUUUCUCUGGUGUUGGGUAAUUAGGCUGUUUUACAGUUUGAACGCUGUAUUUUUCUCUUUUUUUUUUUUCAGAAAAUUUGCUUAUUCGUCUUUAUUUAAAAAUUAUUUUUUCCCAGUUUAAUGGAGGUGUAACUGACCUAUACAGCACUGUGUCAGGUUAAGGUGUGUCGCAUAAUGACUUACAUAAAACGUGAAACGGGCCCUGCACUCUUAAAAAUAAGGACUCGAGUUUAUUUAAUGACUUACUUUUGCCUCAGAUUUUGUCAUUUGAGCAUAAUAGUUAUGACAGCUGACUCCCGGCAUCCCUUCACCUAUACCAAUGAACCGAAGCCAUGAAACAAGCAAAUGUAAUUGGCUUAGAACCAGAUGUGUGACCCAACCCUGACCUCUGAAAAUGGGAGGCACUUCUGGGAAAGGUUUUCUUACUCCUAAAAGUGUUGCAUAAGGAAAAGAUAGACUUUCUGCUUCUGUUGGAUGUUGACUCAGCCUGGACGCACUGCAGCCGCCUUGUGCCCAAGAGGCCUUCCAGCGUGAGGCGAAGCUGUCCCCAAAGGGGUCAGAGAAGCAAGUGAAAAACCUGGAUAAGUGGGGCAUUGUGAGCUGCUGGUUCCCCUGUGCCUGUGGCCUCUCUUCCUCUGGACUUGCAGUUUUGAGUUGGACUUGAAUCAUGCAUCUGUUACUUUCAGGUCAACACACCCUAAGUCAUUUUAGUGGCAUGAGCAAAUAUAAAAUCUGCCCACUGCAAAGAUGUGUGCAGAAGGAGAAGCAGCGAUUCAGAGUUGAAGAUGGGCCCAAGGUCACGUCCCGCUUGGGGAACCCAGACCACUGCACAAGCUUCUUUUUUUGGUCGUCUGUUUGCUGCUUAAAGCAAAGUGCCUCCCCCUGGCUUCCCGUAGCGCGACGCUCUCCAAGAGCCCGAGUGAUGACAGGGAGUGAGCCCAGGAUGCAAGGUCGGGCAGUGUGGUUCUCACGCUGGUUGGCACCCUGCGCCUGUGUGUGCGAUUCCCGCCGAGUGUCUCAACCCCUCUCAUCCCCAGACCCCUUACGAGUUAAGGAAGUUGAUAUACUGACCCGAGAAUCAGGAGACAGGAGUUCCCUCGGAGAAACAGUAAGUGGUCGCACAGUUAUUGUCAUUGUCACAGUAUGCUCCAGGGACAUUUGUCAAGGGCGUAUCUCCUACUACAGGCCAGGCUCGAUUUUCAGUGCUAGCAGUAGGGCAGCGCACAGAUACCGCCGCCUUCGUGUUUUUUAUAUUCUAAGGAAGGUGGCAGAAAGGAGCCGGAAAGAAUUGACUGAGCACCUGGAAGCGAGUCUCAAGUUCUUUGUAGAUUCUGAUUUCUCCAUGAUCUAAAUAGUCAUUUCAGGUGAGCAGUUACGAUUUUUGUUUCUCUCUCUAUCCAUCUAUCUGUCCGUCCAUCCAACCAUCCUGCCCCCUCCCCUCUCCCUCCUCUCUAUACACAGGCAUGCGCGUGCACACGCACACACACUCUUACAUAUCUUAUAUUCUAGAUUCUGAUUUCUCCAUCAUCUAAACAGUUUUUCAGGUGAGCAGUUACUCUUUUUGUCUGUCUAGCCAUCCCUCCCUCAUUUGUUUAUGCCUUUGAAGUUCUUAACCUUUCUUAACCGGCAUCCUAAGUACAUCAAUUGGACAUUGGGCUCCCACUUACUGUUAACGGCUGUCUUGGUAUUUUGCAAAUAGACUGGUGUUUCCUAAAUUGUGUCCCCAGGAUGCCUGGUUGUUGCAGUUGCAGUUUCUGAUGUGCGUGCGCACUCCUGUGAGUGUUUGUGUGUGUGAGUGUGUGUGUGUGUGUGUGUGAGCAAGUGCACGUGUGUUCAUCUCAGCGAUAACCUAGAAAGGUGAACUAAGCAGCUAAGGCUCUUCUGGGUGACCACCUUACAGGCCAUCAGAGGUGCAUCACCACGCCUGUGUUUGCAUUCUGAGCCGGUGGUGACUUUGGCCUGACUCUAUCUUAUGCACAAGGAAACUGAGGCUCAGGGGAGCGUGGGGGUGUGCCUCGGCUGCACAGCCCUGUGGGUGCAGGCCUGAGGGGUGUUGUGGGGCCCCGUCCCCUCCCACACUGGCCUCUGCCUCUGCCUCUCGCCCCUGUCAUCAUUCCUGGGACGUGGGCUCUAAAUCUGAUUUGAUUACUGAGGACAAACUAGCUUAUAAAAUGCUGCAGAGCAGUGUCUUUCCUCUCCGAGAACUGGAUAUAAUAAAGUUGGCUUGAUCUCCCCAGCCUGUAUCUUGAGGGAACAAGUAAAUUAAACAAGUAAUUAUAUCCAUAAUGUUUUUAGAAGUUAGAAGAUUUAAAUAUAUGAAUCUCAUCUGAGCUUGCUGCCUUUUGUCUGCGGUGUUUCCUGCCAAAAGAUCUCUUGACAGGAAAUAAACAUUAAAAUAAUCUUUAAUCCCUUGUCUGGUCUAUUACCAUUAACAAUUGAUGCACUUUAAUUUUGUGGGAUUUUAACUACAAAAUGGAACGGCUAAGUAGUGAUAAUUGGGUUUGGAAUUAUACGGUCAUUUAUAUCAACAGAGAUGCAAGAGGCUGGGAGGGAGGGUGAUUAAUUAUUUACUCUUUCCUGGCUGUGGUUCCUAUUAUAGAAUUUUCUGAUAUGUUCUGCUGUGAACAAUUAUCACCAAAUGAAAGUAAACAAAUCUGUGAUCUGAAGCCUUAUUUAGAAGUUAGUCUAUAUUUAGGUGAUCAGGGCUUGGUUUUCAUGGACCCUGUGGGCUGGGCGCAUUCCUUUUCUCAGGGUCCCGCCAGCUCUGAAUUUGAAUAUGCUUCUCUCUCUGCAUCUUAAAAACUCUAGAACAUGCAGCCCUGGGGAGACCCCUCGGUUUGCCAGGGGAGGACCACACCAGCCCUGAGCCAGAUCUCUGGUCAGUGCCAGCGAUGUAUCUGGGAGGGGGGCCUGGGUGGAUCCUCCGCAUCCCUGGCUUGCUGCAUCACGGCGCGGCGGCGCGGGGAGACCCAGGAGCAAAAUGGGUGUGUCCGCCUGAGAGCAAGGGUGGUGCUCUGAUUUCUCUGCGUGCGAGUGGGUGCUCAUGGAGCCCCCCUUCCUGCCUCCGUCUCCCCGUCCUCGUUCAGUGACCCAUCCACGCUGUGAUCAGGCCUUUGCAGGGGGCAGUCACCCAUCCGACACGCACUCCCCUUCUGCCUCGCUUGGUGGUGACCCGCAUCCGUAGAGCACACCCGCGUAUCUUUUUGCCUCUCCCUCCAUGUGACUCCUUCCAAAGCCAGGGGCCGGCAUCCUUAAGUAGACAGAUCCCUCUGAUGUGCGGGGAUCGAUGGGUCCUGGGUACCAUGUGUUCCCUGGGAAGUGGCAGGACGCGUAAAGCAAAGGGGUGGGCACAAGCCAUGCCGAGCGUCACUCGGACAGUCAUGGUCCAUUCCCAGGCUCUGUGCCGUCAGGGCCUGGGACCAGACGUGUGAUAAGCAAGGUUGCCCUCCGGGGUCACGCCCUCAUGUAAUUCUGCGCGUGACAAGCCCUCUCCUGGUGCCUGUCUACCUGCCCAAUGAGCAGCUGCUCCCGCAUCCACCUGCAGGGUCCCCCAGCCAGGGACUGUCUUGGUGCCUCCCCCGCCCCAGAUGUCCUGCCAUCACUGAUUGGUCACUCCCUGCCUCCGGUCCAACCACGGUCCUCCUCCUCAGCAUCACCACCCUGGCCGCGGUCACCGUCAUGCCUGGCCUGGGUCACGGCCGUCCUCCCUCCCUGGUCUCCACACUCCCAGCAGCCUGGGCCCCGCAGGUGCAGGUCGUAGGCCCCCCUGCUCUUCCCUGCAGGCGAUUCUCAAAGGAGGCAGAGCCCACCUUGCCUUGCGUAGCUUGGGAGGCGGAGCAGAGCAUGGCCGGGGACCCCCAGGGGCCACACCUGACUCUUGGUGUGUUGUUCUUGUUUAUGACUAGCUCACUGUCAUCGGGGGGUAGAGUGUGGAUGUUGGUGGGGACGACCCCGUGAGGAGGAAUCGAGCGGUGCUGGACACACGGGAGACGCGGGACUCAGGGGCCAAGAGACUUUGCUGUUUGACCUUCUCUCCGAGUUUCUCACCCUCAGGCUAUUGAUUUGCGGUGUGGGUAACUCGGCUGUAGGGCCUUCCUGUGCCUUGCGGGACGCUUCCCAGCAACCCUGGCCUCUCCUCACUAGAUGCCAGUCGCUCCCGCCUCCCUCCCAAGUCCUAAAAAGCCAAAGAUGUCUGUAGGUGCUGCCAGAUAUCCCUUGGGCAGAGGGCAAACCAACCCCCAGUUGAGAAGCCCUGCUUUACACCCUUCUCCACAGUUUAGGUGUCCCCCCGCCCCAAGAAGAGAGUAUUUACACCAUUCUAUAAUGGAACCAGAGAAAGUGUUGAUGGAACCAGAAUGCUGACGUGAACCCCUGCUUCAGUGAUGCCCGUUAAUGUACCAGGCCCUACUCUGGACACUUGGUCUGUGUGCAGUAAUUCAUUCCUCCAAGAAUUCCAUAAGCUACAAAAAAAAAAAAAAAAAAAAAAAAAA